RNAcentral lists this small nuclear RNA (119 nucleotides) under Cimex lectularius (bed bug). Its description in RNAcentral is "U5 spliceosomal RNA". It matches the Rfam family "U5 spliceosomal RNA". Rfam says of the family: U5 RNA is a component of both types of known spliceosome. The precise function of this molecule is unknown, though it is known that the 5' loop is required for splice site selection and p220 binding, and that both the 3' stem-loop and the Sm site are important for Sm protein binding and cap methylation. Lineage: Eukaryota; Metazoa; Arthropoda; Insecta; Hemiptera; Cimicidae. The record is from RNAcentral.
GUGCGGUGGUCUCCCUUCAUAACGAAUAAUCUUUCGCCUUUUACUAAAGAUUUCCGUGGAGGGGGACUCACUGAUGAGUCUAUAAUGAAAUUUUUUGUAGUGCCUUGUCGUCAGACGAG